UCCAGACUCCUACGGGAGGCAGCAGUGGGGAAUAUUGCACAAUGGGCGCAAGCCUGAUGCAGCCAUGCCGCGUGUGUGAAGAAGGCCUUCGGGUUGUAAAGCACUUUCAGCGGGGAGGAAGGCGUUAAGGUUAAUAACCUUGGCGAUUGACGUUACCCGCAGAAGAAGCACCGGCUAACUCCGUGCCAGCAGCCGCGGUAAUACGGAGGGUGCAAGCGUUAAUCGGAAUUACUGGGCGUAAAGCGCACGC
Molecule: ribosomal RNA, 250 nt
Filed under: Klebsiella pneumoniae
Lineage: Bacteria; Pseudomonadati; Pseudomonadota; Gammaproteobacteria; Enterobacterales; Enterobacteriaceae
Description: partial 16S ribosomal RNA
Rfam family: Bacterial small subunit ribosomal RNA
Source: RNAcentral